CUGCUGGCCCCUCAGUAGUUUGUACAGAAGAACAUAUGAUCCAGUGAUCCCACUCCGGGGUGUGGUCUUAAAAACAUUGAAAGCAGGGGUCCCCACGAACGCUUGUACUUGACUGUUCGUGGCGACGUCGUGUACGGGCAUCAGCAGGUGGAAAACCCAAAUGUCCAUCAGCAAAUGAACGGAUAAACAAAUUGUGGUCUAUGCUGCGCGUAAUAAAAUAGUAUUCAGACGUAGGAGGGAACGAAGUACUGACACACGCCCCAAAACGGGUGAGCUUAGGAACAUCACGCCGAGUGAAAGAAGCCGCAGGCAAAGCGCCCCGUAGUGUACGAUCCCACUUCUGCGGGGUGUCCACCGUGGGUAAUCCACAGAAACAGCCGACUGCUGGUUGCCAGACAGUGGGAGGAAUAGGGAAUGGGUACAAGGUUUCUUUUUGGGGUGAUGAGAAUGUUCCAAAAUGACUGUAGUGGUAAUUGUGCAACCUGGUGAAGGUACUAAACGCCAUGGAAUUCUACGCUCUAAAUUUUAUGUUCUGUAAAUUUUUCCUGAAAACAAAAUCAAAAACAAAAACAAACCUCAAAGCGCCGCUGCGUCUGACCCACGUUGGUCACCAGGCUGGACGUAGGACACCGGGUGACUGAAGCUGUGCGCCAGGUUUAUAAUCUAUAGAGUGGGGACGACAACAGGACCUGCCUCCCAGGGUUGUGGGAACGUGAAAUGACGCAGGACCUGCAGAGGCCAGUGAGCACGGGCUACACGAUGGCUGUUUUUUGGCGUGGCUGCUGGCCAUCUCUCCGGGACCAGGGGAGAUCGAGGGCCUGGAGCCCCCCACCCCAUCCACUCGGCAAUGCCCUUUGGCCUCGUAUCCUGGGACUUUGAUCAGCAAUACCGCUUGCUUGGUGCAGUCGGGGCGGGAGGCCCUUAUGGAUACUUCUGGGACUGAAGCGGGGACAUAUCCUCUUCUGGGAGUCUGGUGGCCAUUCGCAGCCCGGCCUGAGCAGCCCUGGGGUCUCCUGGCACAGGGAGACCAUACAUACCCCAUACCCUCUCAUUUAGCAGGGAGAGCUCCCAGGGCUGCAGGAGGAGGCUGCACCCCGUCAUCCAGCUGUGAUCUUCCUUCCCUACGCCCUAUGCCAGUGAGCAGGGGAUCAGUGAGGGGUCUCUGGUCCCAAGCUCAGCCCUUGGAUCCCACCGGGGUCGCCUGGCAGGACCUGCCGGCCUCUCUGCACCCCUGCCCCCUUGUGCCCUCCCCGCGGGUCCUCAGCCCGUCCCUGGAUGGUCCUGGCUGAAGGACCCUCCUGCGUGCUGGCAGCGGCUGGCCUGGGCCGACGGGUCAGGGUCCACAUUCCAAAGCUGGAAGGAGGAAGGGCAUGGGGUGGGAGGCACUUCCUGAAAAUCCGUGGAGACAGGGCUUCUUGGGGCAUCACAGGAGUGUCCCCACCGUGCGGAGCCUCACCGCCAGGGUGAGGGAGGGCGUCGGGGAGGUCAGGCUGCCCCAGGCCGGGUGCGGAGAGCCCCAGACGGCUCCUCCGUGGCCCUCCCAGCUGCUGGCUCCUCCGCACCCUAAUGAGCUCGGGGCCAGCUGGUCCCCGUCCGCGCGGCCUGCGGUCCCCUCGCGGCAGUCGUGGCUGCAGGCCAGGGAGGCGGGCCAUGUGACCUUCGGCCCACCGCCCUCCCACCCUGUGAUCUGCACGUGGCCCCUGGGGAGGCAGAAAGCAGCCCUCAGAUCUCCCGGCUGGGAACCUCUCAGCGCGACAUCAAAGGGGCCGUGGGGCGCGGGGGCGGCAGAUGCUUCUCUUAAAGGGCCACACCACUCUUUAAUGCAAAGCAGAUCCUGGGAACAGCUGUCCAGCUACCGCCUGGGACGGAGCACAGAGGACGGGCCCGAAGGAGCGGAGCGAAGGCAGCGGUCCCUGUCGUCCCGGAGCCCACUGCCUAGGCUGCUGCUGCGCGGUGCCGCCGGAGGGUCGCGGGCCCGGUGGGGGGCCCGAGGCACCGUCAGCCCAGCCGCGGCCCCCCUCCACGGCUGGGGCGGCACCGGGUUGUGGGUUAUUCUGGCGGCCAGGAGGGCGGCAGCUUGGAAACUCCACUUGUUUCGUGACAUCCACACUAGAUCAGUGUAGCCGGUGCCCGGGUGAGCUGAGGUUCCUACCUGCCUGGGCCUCUGCCCUGCCUGGGCCUCUGCCUCCCUCCCACCACGUCCAGUCCGCUCUGUGGAGCCCUGGCCCCAGGCUGUCCCCAGGGCCGGGGGUGGGGGGGACGCCAGAGGUGAGAAAACAAGAAAGUGGACCAGAGCAGCGUGUGCAGAGGGGGUUGCCUGUGUUUCAUUCUUUGGCAAUGGGAAAUCCCUGCCUUAGUGGGAAUACAGGUAUUUUCUAGAAAGGUCUGUGUUGGAAAGUAGAUUAGGUUGGUUAAAUUACAGUGCAAUGUUGGGCAGCCCCGUUGGCUCAGGGGUUUAGUGCUGCCUUCGGCCCAGGGCCUGAUCCUGGAGACCGGGAUGGAGUCCCACGUCGGGCUCCCUGCAUGGAGCCUGCUUCUCCCUCUGCCUGU
Nyctereutes procyonoides (raccoon dog) is the source of this 2550-nucleotide long non-coding RNA. RefSeq lists it as uncharacterized. Lineage: Eukaryota; Metazoa; Chordata; Mammalia; Carnivora; Canidae. The record is from RefSeq and is a predicted model, not a curated record. The transcript is spliced from 3 exons.